RNAcentral lists this long non-coding RNA (13708 nucleotides) under Cicer arietinum (chickpea). RNAcentral's name for it is "long non-coding RNA (CARI_LNC002915)". Lineage: Eukaryota; Viridiplantae; Streptophyta; Magnoliopsida; Fabales; Fabaceae. The record is from RNAcentral.
UUGUGUUUUGGUGCAAUGCUGAAUUUUGGUGAGAAAUCAACAUGACAUAUGUAGAGUAUUUCAGCCAUAUCUUGAGUUUUCGAUGUCCAAUUGGAGUCAUACCAAGUGCAAAUGAAAGCUAAGAUCCAUAGCUACAACUUUCAGGAAGACACUGGAACCAAAUUCAGACUCUAAAGAGGAGAAACAUGCAAUAUACACAGGACAGCAGAUGCUGAGCGCUUGGAGCGCGUCGGAGCGCGUCGGAGCUGCCUGAGGCGCGUUUCCAGCCAUCCAACACUGUCCAUGUACGCCUGGAGCGCGUUUCCCACGCCUGGGGCGCGUGACGCGCACCAGAAACCAUAAAAACACAAUUUUUUUUUUUACUGUUUUAGGGAUCUUUUUGACUCCUUGGGAAGUUGGGAGACUUGUGCCCUAGCAUAGAAACUCAAAGACGGCUGUUUACAACAUCAUUGAAGCAAUUUUAUCAAGAAUCAUUCAUGAAUCCUUCUUGUAAUUCUUCUCUAAUCUCUAUCUCUUUUAUCUCUGUAAUGAGUAACUAAACCCUAUUUGUUACGGAUGAGUGUAACAAGAUGAAACCCUUAUUUUUAUGAUUUGAUUUCUAGUUAUAUGAAUGAGUUUAUUGAAUUAUUUUUCUCAUAUCUGUGCUUAAUGCUUUUUAUUGUUUGAUCAACAUUAAAAUGUUCUACGAUUUGUAUUUUGAAACAGAAGUGGACUUUACGAAUGCUUGAGAUGAGAAAUUCAUGAAUUUGUAAUCUAGACAUAGGUGCAGGUCAUAAAACCAAUUAAAUUAGUUGCAAAGCAAUAAUUUACAAGAGAAUUUCUAUACGGUAAUGCUUAAUUCUAAUCUUAAAUAUACUAAGGAGUUAGAGGUUACUUUGGAAUUAAAGGUUCUGUCACUAAGACAUUAGGGCAAGAAUAAUAAAGAGAAUUCGGUAAUAAUUCAAUAAAGGAUCAAAUUUGACACCAAGGUUGGAUUCGAAGUGAAACUCAUCCCUGACAUUUUUCUCAAUUUAUAAAGGAUCAAUUUUACUAUUAUUGUCAAUUUUAAAUAUUAUUUCAAUCAACUUGGGAACUUUUGUUCAAUUUUAGUAGCUAAAUAUAAUUCAAUAGUAAAAUGCAAUCCUUGAGUUCGACACUCGGUACUACUGUUUUAAUUAUUCCUUGCAAUGAUUUAGUACACUUGCUGAAACGCUAUCAAUUCACGACGAGGCUCAUAAUUUCAUGUGGACAUAUGGUUUUUAUUAAUUUAUCUUUCUUGCUUACAUUUAAGAUGGCACUACAAAAAAAAGUAUAUAUUGUGACACUCAGUUUUUGUAAUUUACUUUUAUCUGCCACUAAAGCUAUGUUUAGCUACAGUUAAGGUGUCACUGUUUCUAAAAAUAUUAUACUCUUUUUUGUAAAAAAAAUUAAAUGAACAAAAACCUUCUAAAGUAGAAAAUGGUUUUCCCUUUCUUCUCAUUUCUCUCAUGUUUGGUUAAACCCAUUUCUUGAUUUCCAUUACUUCUCUCUCAGAAAUUUUUCCACAUUCCAGUUAGGGUUAAAUCGUUUUUCCAUUUUCCCUCUCAGAAAUCACUAUGCUUCUCUAGUAAUUAUUGGAUUUCCGUUGACUUUCCUCUUCGAUUCAUGUUCCUCUUCAAUUUUUUUGUUUAAUCGGGAUUCUCUCAUAACAAUCAAGCAGAUUCAGUUUUUCCUUUCAUCUAUCUUGUUGCAAUUCGAUUUUCUGCGAUUCAAUUUAGGUCUUCUUCUUUCAAAUCGUAAAAUCGUUCAUCUUCUAACAAAUCGUUCUUCUUCUCCAUUCGAUUGGAUUAUGUUCAUCCGAUUUUCUUCAAUUUCAUUUGUCUUCAAUUUCUUCUUCUCCCUGGUAUAUUAUGAUAGACAACUAUAUUCAGUAAGUUGCAGAACUAGUCUUCAAUUCAUGUUGAAUAAGUAAGUUGCAGCCUCUAGUAGCAGCUUUCUACCUCUUGAUAUUGGUAAUUGAAAAAGCACAAAACAUGUUAAAUAGUAAUGACAAUCUUCAUGAGCAAUGAACAUUCAUUUACUUUGAUUUUAGUCUUAGCUUUGCAUGAUUUCAGUCUUAAGCCAAGUUAUCCUUUGUUUUGAAAUUUGUUAUUGCCAUUGAAUGAAACCUUUUGUUCUUCCAGAUUAAUAUUGCUCUAUAAAUUGUUUUAUACAUCUCUCCUAAAUAUUUGAAAGAGAACACACUUGUAUUAUGUUGAGCCUCAAGGAGUAGAAUAGUAGCUUCUCUAUGUGUCAUGUUUGUUUUUGUGUCUUUUGAAGAUGAAAAACAUUAUUUUACACUAAUGAAGAUCUUCGUAUUAUGUUAUAUGAAUUGACUUUCGCUUGUAGCCUAGCUCUGAUUUUUGAAGACAGAUUACAGGCGGUUAAAAAUCUACUUCUUUUUAUUGUGUUAAAUGAAUAGAAAUGAAUUUGAGACAUAAAGUUUUUUGGAUUAGAUUUUUUAGACUUAUAUUGCAGCAAUAUCAACUGCUUCGGGUUUAUCUUUACUCAAAGUUGGUGGAAGAAUGGUUUAUUAAACAUGCUCAAUGAAUCCUAUUGAGAAUGAAGAUGUGGUUGCAAAGGUACUCUACUUUGAGUGUUGUCUAGUCUAUACUUUUAUGUAGCCUUGCUAGUCGCUGGGUUGACAUAGAAAAGUGCUUUACCAUAGUAAGUUGAACUAAUGCGCAAUUACCUUUGAAGCACAGUACAUCAGUUUGUUCCAUUUCCGCCUAUGUGGCACCAUGGUGAAUUUUGUGCCAGCCGCCAUAGGUCAGAACACCUAUAUUAGCCACCAUGUUUCCGCCAGAGGCUGCAACACCAGUUUAUAUGGCUGAUUUUUUGUUUGCCACCAUAAUCCUCCAAUGUCAUUAAGAACACUUGGUAAAAUUUGAAAACAAUUAAGCAAGUGCAGGCCUGCAAAUUUCGGCCACAAACAAACUGCAACACGUUUUUCUUGCAUAAUUUUUUUUAUUGUGGUCAUGUAUCAGCUUAGCCCCAAAACCAUUUCAUUCCUCUUUCACUAGCAUAGCGUAUGCCUAGCUCAUGGUACUAAGGUGCGGUGGUUGUUUGAAUUGCAGCUAUUUUGGGUUUAUUCUCCUAUUACCCUUGACUAGCCUUCUACCCUCACUCCCAACAUUUGAUUAAUAGUAUGAGUGCUAAUUGAUAACUAUUGAUUUUUAAGUGUAAGAUUAUGCGUCUAUUAGUUUAUUUUACCACUAUUGCCUUGACUAGAAGUUAGCGCUAGAUAUGAUAUUGCGUCGGCUAGUGUCACCGCCAAUUCUUCUGCCUUGACAAUGAUGCAUCUGAAACAAUUAUUUUUUGUCAUCUCUUUGAGCUACAAACAUUGUUGCCAAGCAAAAAAAUUGCUUAGAGGGAAUGCAGAUUGGGGUGGUAAAUACUUUGAUGACACUUAUCUUAUUUUAGAGAUAGAUUUCUUCUAGUGUGGAAAAAAUGAUAUUGGAUAGGUUUAUCUAAUCUAAUGAAACUCCAUAUUGGCUGGCUGAUUGUACCAAUUUCCCUAUGAAGCCUAAUUGCGUAGGUUGUCAAUCUCGAAUAAUCGAGCAGACCAGCCAACCCUUAAUCAGGAUUGGUGUAACUGGAAGGCUUAAUAUAUGUAUGUACGUGUAUUCUAUAUAUAUAUAUAUUUAUAUGUUAUUCUAAUUGGAAAGGAGAACUAGGUAGAUCUUGGGCCUAGUACAUGAAAAUCAAAUAAGUAGUUGUGCUCAAUUCCAUUUUCUUUAUCCUCUAUUCUUUUUUUUACUGUUUUGCAGGUUUUGCGGAGGUGUGGAGGGUCUUUCGAACUUGUUGAUGUAUCGAGUGAGCUUCCACAACUUAUUCGUCGGCCAGGUCUCAAGAGAUGGAAGGUUUGUGUUUUAGUGGUCAAUUGAUUGUUUAUUUCUUUCAGCAUUCCAGUUUUGAUUAUAAUACAUUUAAUAUUUAAAAAAAAAAAAAACAAAUAUGUUGCUUAUGUAUACAUGUCAAAGUUUGUGCGUUUGUGGGUUUUUUUUGGGAGAUCAUCCCCAUUUAUAUCAUGUGAUUAGAGACAAACUAAAGGGUUUUGAAGGAAAAUAGUGGCUGGUUGGCGUUCUUAGUUUCCUAUGUUUUGUAAGGAAAUUGAAUUUAUUUUAAGCUGUUGAUUUUGGAGGUGCAUGUAUAUGACAAGGGCAGUUGGUUUGUUUCUUCCAAAGAUGUUCUCAAAUUUCAUAGAAGUGUAAUUCUUUCCAGUAAGUUUCCUUCUGGAAUACGCUAUCAGGAUCUGGGCGACAAUAAUUUUAAUGCUGACAAGGGAGAUGACAUUACUAGUGUGGUUAAUGGAAAAGCUGAAGAUGGAAAUGAAGCACUAGAGAAUCAUGUGAUGUCUGAGUCUGCCAAAGAAGCUUUUAAUUUUCCUCUUGAGCAUUGCAUGAGGAUAAUGCCUCAUGAUCAAAACACUGGGGCCUUCUUUAUUGCUGUGCUGCAAAAAGUUUCUCCUUUUCCUGGUAGUCUUUCUUAUAUAAUAACAUUUUUUUCUCUCUUUUUUACCUCAGUUUCCGUUAGUUAUUAGUCGGGAAAUCUGGGUUAACAUAAUGGAAAUAAUUCCAAGAUCUCAUUUCUACCAUGUUUAUAUUCAUUUUACCCGAACUUUUUCUCAUGUUUGUAAUUGUUUUCAUUCUUGCAUCUCUUCUCAUUGUUUUCACUCUUGCAGCUCUUCUCGAAAAACCCAUCACAAAAAUUGAUGAAUAAUAUGUAGAACCAGCAAACCAUAGUCUUGAGGAUGCACAAGCACCGCAAAUCAAUUCAUCUGAAACCACACUUGAAGAAGUCUUAGCAGUUCCAGAAGAAAAUGGGAAUGACAGUGUAUCCAAUACAGAAGACUUGGAAGUUAUUACAUGUGAAGAAAAGAAUUCUGAGGAAGCUAAAGAACCCAUAAUGCACAAAACACAUAAAAGAAGGUACCGGGAAAAGAAAGCUACAAAGUCAAGGCAAAAGUAGAGGUGUUGACCCAAUUCUCUUUUUCAAAGAUGAAGCAGUUAUUAAUAGUAUAAAGGAUUUUUAUGGAAUAGAUGAGCGUUUUUCAUUCAAUGGUCACCUUGUUACAAGACACAAUGAUAUGAAUCAUGUGAAAAGAAUUUACUAUGUCUCCAAGUCAGUCAAGGAUAUUCUUGGGUUGAAUUUCUCAGUUGGGCAACAACUCAAAAUAACCUCAGUUGGACUGAAGAUGUUUGUAAUUAACUUCAUUCUCAAAUUUAGUGAUAUUGUUGUUUUUUGGUUAGAAUUUUUAUCUGAGUGCAUGAUUGUGAUUGGAUGACAGUGUAAAAAACUCUAUUAUACCUGUUGGUGCAUCUCCCUCUUCUCUUAUUAUUUUACGAGGCUGAUUUAUUUAUCAUUCAUAUUCCAGAUUUAAAUAAAUAAUAAUUUGUUAGACAAUAAUGAUCUCACCAUUAGAAGGCCUAAAAGUAUUGUUUAGUAACUUGGUAGAUAAUGGUGUAGGCGCAAAAGAUCGAUUUAGACAUGGAAGACAGAUUCUGACAGAGUUUGAAUAUCAAAAAUGAAACGUAUAAACUUUUUAUUGUUUCAUGUUGAAGAAGUCAAUGCUAGUUAUAUCUUGUUGCUUCUCAUAGAAUUAGAUUCUAGUACAUCAUCAAUCAUUUAAUGAAUUUUAGUACUUUGUCAUUUUUAUUUCCUGUUUUGUUGGCUCAAAUGUUAAGGUGCAUGUUGAGUUUUUAUUGGAUAUGAAUUAUUGUUGACCAUUCUCAUCUCAUUUUGACAUAAUAAUUUGUAAGGAUUAUGUGUAAUAUAAUGACUAAUUAAUUUAUUUAGAACUGCUUUACAAACCUGAUUCUUGUAUGCAUCACUCUAGAGCUACACAAGUAGCAUGCAUACCACAGUCUACCCUAUUAAAUUAGUUGCAUCGAAUAAUUUGUUAAAUAAAUAUAUUAGUAUUUCAAUGGCAUCGCUUGUGCAGUAAUUUUGUGUAUCUUCCAAGAGAUGAAGUUUUUGGUCACUUAAAAUCAUCAGACUUUCUUACUUAUGGAUUGAAAGUUGUAUCUCAAAAUGUGGUUCCAGCGUUAGAAUCUGUAUUCUUUGAUUAGAAUUUCACACCAAAUGAGUUUGAUAGAUUUGAUGAAUUUCAUGGAUUGUAUGAGGGUGGAAUUGAGCUGCCAAGAGACAUACUUAGCAAGAUUAGUCCAUUACCUGGGCUCAACGAAAUCUUCUUCAUAUUUUUUAUGUAAAUUUAUUCAUUUGAAUUUUAAUUAUUGUUGCAACAUUUUUGUUGGUAAUUAAGUGAUAAUCCAUUUCUGUAAGAAUUUGUUUUUGCUUUCUUAGAACAUUCUUUUGAUUUUAUUGUGUGUAGUUACCAUGAUAGAGGUAGUUUUUAUUCUAUUGGGAUGCUUCAACUUCUAUUACUAUUUGAUACAUGUGUUUUGUGUUAUUGUUGGGUAAGUUGAAAUGUCAUAAGUGUUAUCAUGAUUGCAUCUCAUGUAAGGGCGUCUUGAAAUUUAGUGUUUUGUUGAUUGCUCUAGUGUUGGCAUAUAGUCAUGUAAGUGGGGUAAAUUAAAUUAUAUUUUAGUUUAUGUUUCAAUGGCAUUAAUUAAUAAAAAUAAAUUAAAAUUUUAAAUUUAAUUUAAUUGUAUUAAUAAUUUAGAAUUACAAUUAGUAGGGAGAUAAAACAAAUUUAAUUUAAUAAAUAAUAACAGGUUUUAGUGACACACAAUAUCGUAGGAAUAGAUUAAUUCUUUAUUUAUAUUUUUUUUGGUUUUAGUGACAGACAUUCAUGAUGUUCAAACCUUAAUAUCUUUUUACCAUUUUAUCUAUUUUUACUUUAGUUGACUUAUCUUAGUUUUUUAUAAAGCACAAAUUUAAAAUAAUACUCAUAAAGAAUGACUUUUUAUUCUACAUUAAUUUCACCUACUACUAUUUAUCUAUGCAUAUGCAUAUAAUAUUAUAACUACUUAAUCUACAAUUUUAAAAUAUAUUAUCUUAAUUAACUAAGUAAUUGCAUUCAAGUUGAUAAUAAAUUUUAGUAAAGGACGAAUAAUUUAAAAGAAUUUAAAUUCGAAUUCUAACUACAACAACUAUUGACCAGACUUUACUUAUAUAUCGGUCGAACUCCAUAUUACUAGAACUCUUUUCUCUAAAAACCAUAUAAUUAAAAAAAUUAUCUUAACUCUUUUUUACAAGAUCAUAACCCAAAAAAAAAAAAAAAGCUGUACUUACUUAAAGUUAUUAUUAAAACAUAAACAAAAGGAAACAUAUUGGGGGAUAAACCAAAUCUAAAGAAUACAGUCAUUUAAAAUGCUAAUCAAUUCCCUCAUUAAAAAUUUUAUUUGAAUAAGUCAUUGAGAUAAAACCAUAGUGAAAAAAAAAGUACAAUGCAAACAAAAACUAAAUCUAAAACAAAAUAUAUCAAUAGAAAUGAUCACUAAUUAAGAAAACAAAAUCUAUUAUACAAUAAGUAUCCCCUAAUGAACGCAGAUAAAUUAAAUAAUUCCAUAGAAGUAAAGUAGAAGCAAUAAUUUUAUAAUUUACUAAUUUAUCCGCACAAUUGUCUUCUCAAUAAAUUCUUACAUCUCUAAAGAAAGAAAAAUAGUUUUUUUCACAUGAUCAUUUAUAAAUGUCAAAGGAUCCAACUAUGAUUCUUUAAAGAGCCAACUACAACCAAAUAGUUGUUUCUAACCAAAGGCUAAGCUAACAUCUUGAAUAAGAAUUUUACAUAUAAAACAUAUCGGCUAAUAAUUCUACAUGAAAAGUAAUAGUGAUGACAAAUUUCAUCUCAAAACUACCAAGAAAAGUUGUUAUGCUAUUUUCAAAAAUACCUUUGGCCACCAACAUCAUCAGGUGGGCCUCUGGCAGUGCCAUCAAUAUUAAACUUUAUCAAACUAGGAGGAGUUGGACACCAAUAAACUUGAACGAUAGUCACAAGGGGUCGACCAUGAACCCAAUCAGUCCGAAGAAUCUAAAACUCCAACCUCGAGAAAGACACAUGCCAUGUAAAAUGGGAUCCAAUCAAAUUAACCACAUGCUGAACCAUUUUGCAAGCAAUCUAAAAAGAAAUCCUCUAAAUUGUGGAGUAUGCACCGCAUAGAAUUCACAUACUUAAGUUGGGCUGCCUCGUUUAAUCUAAAAAAAAAAAAAACUAGAGGAUCACGAGGUGAGGUAAGUUGGACUGUCAUACUAGAUUAAAAUAAGAUAUACUACAAUUUUUGUUCAUUUAUUUUUACCAAUUAUUAGAAUUGGUUCCCCUAUUUUUUAACGCAAUAAUUUUAAUCUAUCCCUCAUAUUUUUUAACUAAUAAAAUGAUGAUUUAACAUCUUUUAAAUGACACGAUAUAUGAUGUUAUUAUUUAGAACCAUCUUAAUAGAUUAAUUAUUCAAUUAUUAAUUUAAUUACAUAAAUGAAUCAUUAUUGAAAUUGAAACUAAUUUUUUUGGAAUAUUUUAUAUCAAUUUUAUUGGUAUUAAUCUGUCAAAAUUAUUUUAUCAUAAGUCAUGUCGUUUAAAAUAUGUCACAUUAUCUUUUAGUUAAAAUUUUUGAGAGAUAAACCAAAAUUGUUGGAUUUUAAAAUAUCGGUGCCAAUUCAAAGAAUUAAUAAAACAAAUUAAAAGAUCAAAACUAAAAUUAAGUUUUUAUUAAAUUAAUUCAAACUUUAGUUGACACUUUUUUUGGCAGAUGUUUAACUAACUCAACCAAACAAAAAGAGUAAAUUUGAUUCAUUAACAUUGUAGCCGGAUUUGAUUACUCUUGGAGUAGACAUUAUAGCUAUUUGGUCUGCAAUUGCUCCAAUUUUUGAUUUUUUUGGUGAAAAAAGAAAAUUGGAGAAUUCACAAGCAUUCGUUGCAUAUUUACUUAUUAUUAUGUAUUAAACUAAGAUAAAUAGUUUUGUGAGCUACACAAUUGAGUCCAAAAAACACCUCCGAUGUAGAAUUUGUUGAGUCCUAUGAGGACAAUGAAGCGGACAAUAAAAUAUUUUAAUGUGGACAAAGUAUUAAUGAGACGGCUUUACAACUAAUCAUAGGGGAUGGAAGUAGUCGCUCUAAGGGAUCGUCGCCAAAAGAUUUACAUUAUCCUUCUCAAAGCCCCACAUGUUCCAAACUUCAUCUGAGUGGAAGCUUCAAUAAAAGUGUUACAAAUAUCAGAUUACCGAUAUCUACUUACAGACAAAUGUUCUCACAAGAGAUGGAGCAUUGAUGAAGAGUUUUAUUACAUCAAUAUUUUUUUGAUUUGGGAUGAUGGUAAGUUUAAAGUGAAUAGUCUAAUUACUGAUUUUGAUUUACGAGUUGAGAGAGGCACGUAUGCCAAUUUAUAAUAUAUACAUUUCAUACAUAUUGUAAUUUUUAACUUUCUAUUUUGUAUUAUUAUUGAAUAAACUGUAUACUUGUUAAAAAUAUAAAAAUAUGAAAUAUAUCUUUAUCUUGUUCAUUAAUUCAUGACUAGGCUCAAAAUCUUUUGUUUGACCCACAUCUUAUAACACAACAUGUAACACCCCAAAUUUUAUAAUAAAUUAAUUUUAUUAAUAAAAUAGAAUUUUAAAUAAUUAAUUUGGUAUUAAAGUUAUUUUAAAAUAUAUAUUGAUUAAUUUUCUUUAUACGUGUGGUUUCUAUGAUAUGUUAAUUUCCUACAUAUUGAACUAAAUGUGUAAUGUAAGUAACAAAUAUUGUAUUUUAAAUAUAUUUCUAAAAAUAAUUGUAGUUUAGCGUAAAUAUUUAAAGAGUAAAAUUUUAUGCGAUUUUACGUGUAUAUACGCGUAGAUAAUUAAAAUGAUAUUUUUAUAUACAUUUAACUAAAUGACAAAUAUGUGCACUUAAUUAUAUUUUAAUUACUCCUAACUAUUUCUUACUUUAAUUAAUUCUAUUAUAAAUAACUAUUUUGAAUAUUUUAGAGUAUCAAUUUUUACUAUAAAAGUGUUAAAACAUAUUUUCGAUGUCAAAAUGCCUUAAAGUGCAUAUAUUAGUAAGUAUAGUAAUAAUUAUGAAUACAAGAGUUUUUGUUAUUAUUGAUAUAUUUAUAAAAAUUUAAUUGCUUUAAUUAAUAUUUUUUUCUUGAUAAAAUAUUAGUUUUGAAAUAUUAAUAAUAUUGUGCUUAAUUUUCUUUAUGUGUACUUCUUAAGUUGUGUCUAUUUUAUACGUAUUUAAUUGAUUUAGUGACUUAUAUAAAAGAUUUGAUGUUAUAUUCUUUUAUUUUCAUUUUAACUGUUUUUAUAGUAUAAUAAUAUUUUAAUUUAAUAUUUUGAAAGAUAUUAUUUUAGUGGCAAAUAAAUAAAUCAAAAUAAGUGUGUAAUUAGUUGAUCUUGUAAAAAAAUAAAAUAUAAUAAAAUGAACUCAAAGAGUUAGGUUAAUAAUAACUAAUAUGUUAAAAAAGAUAAUUAAAAUCAAAUGUAACCUAACCUAGGAAAGAAAAUGCUAGAGUAAAAAAAGUUGAAAUGUAGAGAGCAGCGCAACUUGACGUCAUAGGAAGAAAAAAAUUGAUACCGUUCGUCGAUCGAUGUUCGGAAAAUUUUCUCCAUUUUAUCCAAACUUCAGUAUAUUGUUUCACUCAUUUAGCUAGUCAAUUAAAUAAACUUUCCCAGAUUUUUAACUAUUACAAUUUAUCUCUAAAAUUCUUGACUUCUCCAUUUAUAAAAUUCAUCAUUUUGUACCGUUCUUCUUCACUGUAAGUUCGAUUUGAGUGAAACUAUUGCCAAAACGAUCGUGUUAAAAUUGGCUAUAUUAUCCACUGAUUAGCUUUCUAAUUUAUGGUAAGUUUCCUUGACCAAAUUUCGAAAUUUAUCUUUUAGAGUGUCUUCUCGUAAUUUAUUUUUGACGUUUACCCAUAAACUGUCAAGUUAGAUCAAUUGAAGGAUAAAGAGUUAAAGGACAAAUGUUGUUUGCUCGUGGAAUUGUAUUCAUGUGUGAAAGCGUCGAAAUAAGAUAAGGGGUGAGAGAACGUUUGAAUUCAUGAAUAUGAUAUAUUAUGAGAUGAACGGAAAAACCAUAUUUUCUAACGAUUCAUCUGUGGCUCGCUACGUUUUACAGUAGCCGUUUGAGUGAUAAAUUAAUUAAUGUGCAAAUAUGGUAAUUGUGAGAAUAAAAUAUGGAAUAUAAAUAUUUAUAAGGUGUUGAUAAAUUUAAUUUCGUGAAAUAAGGGCUAUUUGAUUAGACGAGUCUAUGUGAUGUGAUGAUAAAAGAUGAAUUCAUUUUGAUAAGUUUACGUGAUUAUAAUGAUGUAUAAUUAAUAAUAGUAAUGUUAUAAAUUUGUGAUAAAUCUAUGUGAUGAUGUAUGAUUGAUGAUAGUGACGCUAUAAAAUUAUGAUGAGUUUAUGUGAUCAAAUAUGAUUAAUGAUAGUGAUGUCGUAAAUUUGUGAUGAGAAUAUUGAAGUAACUUCAUAGUAGUGAAAUAAUUGUGAUUCUAAUUUGUGUUUGAGAUGACGGUUUUAAUGGAGUAUCAUAGGCCAACGAGGGGAGAAAAUAAAUAUUGAUAAUUUGUGAAGUGAAUAUUAUUUUGUCAUCAUAUAGGUAGGGCCUGACAAGCCUAGUGAUUAUGGGGAAGUACAACUGAAUGAGCCUCAUGGUGGCGUGGCGGUCUGCUGUUGAGCCUUAAGGCAAGAUUGUUAGACCUUUGAGGUAUUCAAGUGGGAAAUUCCUAGGUGACAUGGAGGUAGCACUCCAAAUAUCGGGAGCUACCAUGCAACACACCUUUACCUCGACUGUCGCAUAUAUGUGUCUCGGGUUGAGUUGAGGGGUUCUAUGAGAACAGGGCCAAUUUGAAUUGUUCGUCCACCGGAAUGGUGGCAUAAUAUCAAACCUCAUAACCAAGUACUUUAGAGUUAGAAUGGUACCACAUUGUGAAGUAGAAUAUUUGCUCAUGCAUUGCAUUGCAUUUUAUUGUGAUUGUUUUGUUGUGAUUAAUAAAUAUCAUGUGUGAUAAUAAAUUAUCUUAGAUAAUUUGAUGUUAUAGUGAAAUGCAUUGAUUUUACUUGAGUGAUUUUAACUUUAUAAUGUGAUGUUUUUCCUUGAAGAAUGUUUGUGUUAUGAUACAAUAUAUUAUGAUUGUUUGCGUGUUCUUCUUACUUAUAUUAUGCUAUUGACAUAAUUUCAAAAUUCACCUCCUUCCUUGUUUGUGUUUGACUGGUUUGACCCGGAAUUUGUGAAAUCGCAGUUAUUACAAGUUAAUGAGUCUUGAAGUUCAAGUUUGGAGAAAACCCGCUCUGAUAAGUGAUACCGAGAAUUAAGAGUUGUAAUUUUAUAUUUUAAUUAUAUAAUUACAAAUGACUUUUUAUAUGAAAACCUUAGUACUACGUAAGUUUUUGGAAUUAAAAUAAGAAUUUUCUAUUAAAUCAAGUUCUUUGAGAUUAAAUUGUUUUAUUUAAAUAAUAAAGUUUGAAUUGUUUAAUGUGUACUUUGAGAAACGUGAUAUUCUAAAUUAAAAAAAAAGUUUUUAUUUUCUUGGAAGCAUAUUUUUAUUUAUCCACUGCAAAUUUUAUAGAAAUAUAAUAUAAAUUAAUAUAUAUAUAUAUAUAUAUAUAUAUUAUUUUGAGGUUUAAGGUGUGAUACAAUUUAAUGACUAAACGAUGCAAGUCACUUGAAACUUACAAAUAAAAGGAAUGGAAAUAUAACAAAGCAUAAAUAAUUAGAGAGAGGUGUUAGUCAACACAACCACAAACCAUUCUUUAAUAUUCCCUAAAUCAGAUCAAAAUCACUUGGAGGCUCAGUAUACAAAACUCCGAGUAGUGCCUGCUGUAAAAUAAACAUUCUUGUCCAAAACUUUCUAAACCUAGAUCAAAUAACUCCCAAAAUGAAGCAGCAUCAGUUAUCAAUCCUUACAAUAAUCAGCUAUAACUUCCCCUUUAGUAAUAUAGAUACAACAUUUUAUUGUUUUAUAUAUUAUAUUUAUUAAAUAUAUAUGUUAUUUAUUUUAUAUUUGGGUUGGACAUUUUUUCUUUUGUGUAAAAAAAAAAGAAUCUAAUUUAUGUUAAAUUUAUAUAUUUAAAUAUUAUAAAUUAAAUAUUACAACCAAUAUAGUAAAUAUUUUUUUAAUUUAGUAAACAUUUUUUAAAUUUGGUAAAUAUUUUUUUAAUUUAGUAAACAUUUUUUAAAUUUGGUAAAUAUUUUUUUAAUUCUUAAGAUCUCGUAAAAACACUUAUGAUGUUAUAUUUUAUAAUUAUAAAUAUAAUACUUAUAAUAUUUUAUUCAUAGGCAUAGAUAAAUAUAUAAUAAGUGGGAUUAAUGAAGAACGACAAAUCAUUCUUAAAAAACAAAAUUAGAAAUUAUAGCCUAAUAAAUUAUAUAAUAAGGUAUUUGAAGUCGGUCAACAAAUAAAAAAAAAUACCUAAUAUGAUAAAAAAAAAUUAUGCUUUCCACCUUAUUAACGUCAAAAUAUUUCCAAUUAUGAUAUUUCAUAUAGAAUUCUAAUUUGCCUAUAAAUAGCUACAUAUUGUUUUAAUAUACAACUAACUAUAAGAUAUUUGUUUUGGUUUUCUUUACAAAUUGAAUUUGAUUAUUAUGGAAGCUCUAUUGAAGAUGUUUUUUAAGUUUUUGGUGGUGAUACUUGUUGUGAUUGCAGGCCCUCUAAUUGGUAAUGUUCAUGGUGAUGAUUUACCACCUUGUUGCCUAAAUUUUGGUCAAGUGUGUCAGCCAGUUGUGUGUGAUAGACCUCCAUGUUGUCGUCCUCCAUCCAGUCAAACGAAACUUUAAUUCCAUGUAAUAUGUAAUAAUGUAUCAAUAAGAUCGAAUAAAACAAUAUAUUUUCUAUUAUUU